UACGUAGGGGGCUAGCGUUGUCCGGAUUUAUUGGGCGUAAAGAGCGUGUAGGCGGCCAGGUAGGUCUGCUGUGAAAACUCGAGGCUCAACCUCGAGACGUCGGCGGAAACCAUCUGGCUAGAGUCCGGAAGAGGAGAGUGGAAUUCCUGGUGUAGCGGUGAAAUGCGCAGAUAUCAGGAGGAACACCGGUGGCGAAGGCGGCAUCCUGGACCGGCAUUGACGCUGAGGCGCGAAAGCUAGGGGAGCAAACGGG
RNAcentral lists this ribosomal RNA (253 nucleotides) under uncultured bacterium. Its description in RNAcentral is "partial 16S ribosomal RNA". It matches the Rfam family "Bacterial small subunit ribosomal RNA", at positions 524 to 776 of the family's 1533-position model. The record is from RNAcentral.